RNAcentral lists this ribosomal RNA (241 nucleotides) under uncultured bacterium. RNAcentral describes it as "partial 16S ribosomal RNA". It matches the Rfam family "Bacterial small subunit ribosomal RNA", at positions 678 to 916 of the family's 1533-position model. The record is from RNAcentral.
GCGGUGAAAUGCGUAGAUAUCAGGAGGAACACCGGUGGCGAAGGCGGGACUCUGGGCCGAUACUGACGCUGAGGAGCGAAAGCGUGGGGAGCAAACAGGAUUAGAUACCCUGGUAGUCCACGCCGUAAACGUUGGGCGCUAGGUGUGGGGUUCCUUCCACGAACUCCGUGCCGCAGCUAACGCAUUAAGCGCCCCGCCUGGGGACUACGGCCGCAAGGUUAAAACUCAAAUGAAUUGACGG